This 1485-nucleotide ribosomal RNA is filed under the name uncultured bacterium. RNAcentral's name for it is "16S ribosomal RNA". It matches the Rfam family "Bacterial small subunit ribosomal RNA". The record is from RNAcentral.
AGGGUUUGAUCCUGGCUCAGGAUGAACGCUAGCGGCAGGCUUAACACAUGCAAGUCGAGGGGCAGCGGGAGUAGCAAUACUUGCCGGCGACCGGCGCAAGGGUGCGUAACGCGUGAGCAACAUGCCCGUAUCAGGGGGAUAAUCCAGGGAAACUUGGUCUAAUACCGCAUAAUAAUCAUUUGGGGCAUCUUGGAUGAUUUAAAAUUUCGAUGGAUACGGAUUGGCUCGCGUGACAUUAGCUGGAUGGUAGGGUAACGGCCUACCAUGGCUACGAUGUCUAGGGGUUCUGAGAGGAAGGUCCCCCACACUGGAACUGAGACACGGUCCAGACUCCUACGGGAGGCAGCAGUGAGGAAUAUUGGACAAUGGAUGGAAAUCUGAUCCAGCCAUGCCGCGUGCAGGAAGACGGCCCUAUGGGUUGUAAACUGCUUUUGUAUGGGAGCAAUAAGGGCUACGUGUAGCCUGAUGAGAGUACCAUACGAAUAAGGACCGGCUAACUCCGUGCCAGCAGCCGCGGUAAUACGGAGGGUCCGAGCGUUAUCCGGAUUUAUUGGGUUUAAAGGGUGCGUAGGCGGUUUUAUAAGUCAGCGGUGAAAUUUUCCGGCUCAACCGGGAUACUGCCGUUGAUACUGUAAGGCUAGGAUAUGGUUGCUGUGGGUGGAAUGUGUGGUGUAGCGGUGAAAUGCUUAGAGAUCACACAGAAUAUCGAUUGCGAAGGCAGCUCACAAAGCCAUUAUUGACGCUGAGGCACGAAAGUGUGGGGAUCAAACAGGAUUAGAUACCCUGGUAGUCCACACUGUAAACGAUGAUAACUCGCUGUCGGCGAUAUAAAGUCGGUGGCCAAGCGAAAGCGAUAAGUUAUCCACCUGGGGAGUACGACCGCAAGGUUGAAACUCAAAGGAAUUGACGGGGGCCCGCACAAGCGGAGGAACAUGUGGUUUAAUUCGAUGAUACGCGAGGAACCUUACCCGGGCUCGAACGGUGCAGGAAUACUACAGAGAUGUGGUAGCUAGCAAUAGUCUGUAUCGAGGUGCUGCAUGGUUGUCGUCAGCUCGUGCCGUGAGGUGUCGGCUUAAGUGCCAUAACGAGCGCAACCCUUGUCGUUAGUUGCCAUCAGGUCAAGCUGGGAACUCUAACGAGACUGCCACCGUAAGGUGUGAGGAAGGGGGGGAUGACGUCAAAUCAGCACGGCCCUUACGUCCGGGGCGACACACGUGUUACAAUGGCAGGUACAGAGGGGAGCUACCCAGCGAUGGGGUGCGAAUCUCAAAAGCCUGUCUCAGUUCGGAUUGGAGUCUGCAACUCGACUCCAUGAAGUUGGAUUCGCUAGUAAUCGCGCAUCAGCCAUGGCGCGGUGAAUACGUUCCCGGGCCUUGUACACACCGCCCGUCAAGCCAUGGAAGCCGGGGGUGCCUGAAGUUCGUAACCGCAAGGAUCGACCUAGGGUAAAACUGGUGACUGGGGCUAAGUCGUAACAAGGUAACC